UAAAUAAAUGAGCAGGAACAAGAAAACAGUC
This 31-nucleotide non-coding RNA is filed under the name Rattus norvegicus (Norway rat). The record is from RNAcentral. Lineage: Eukaryota; Metazoa; Chordata; Mammalia; Rodentia; Muridae.